Molecule: long non-coding RNA, 704 nt
Filed under: Glycine max (soybean)
Lineage: Eukaryota; Viridiplantae; Streptophyta; Magnoliopsida; Fabales; Fabaceae
Description: long non-coding RNA (GMAX_LNC002149)
Source: RNAcentral
CUGUUACCGGCAAAUUGGAUGCCGAGAAGCUGCGAGAUAAGAUCGCCGAGAGAACCAAGAAGAAGGUUGACAUCAUCUCAGCUCCGCCCAAAAAAGAAGCCGCCGCCACGGAAAAUCCACCGGAGAAGAAGGUUGAAGAGAAGAAACCUGAAGAGAAAAAACCAGAAGAAAAACCUAAAGAGGUAAUUAAUUAGUAAUUAAUCUUCAUUUUCCCCUAAUAGAACGAAUUUAUUAGGCAUAAUUUCACUAACGGAUUUUAUUUUAAUUUAUUUAUUUUUUCUUCUCUACAGAGUAUGGUGGUUUUGAAGAUCAAACUGCACUGUGACGGUUGCAUUGCGAAAAUUCGAAGAAUCAUUAUGAGGUUCAAAGGUGAGAGAGUUGACCUAAAUCAUUAAUUCACACCUAAUUCAUUUUUUUUAAUGAAACAUUUGAUUAUUCUAAUUUAAGUAAUUAAUUAAAUAUCUGAUGCAGGUGUACAAUCGGUGAGCCUUGACGGAAGCAAGGACUUGGUGACAGUGAAGGGAACAAUGGACGUGAAGGAGAUGGUGUCGUACCUGAACGAGAAGCUGAAGCGAAACGUGGAAGUGGUGCCUCCUCCGAAGAAAGACGACGAUAAGAAAGAGAAAGAAGGUGACGGUGGCGAAAAGAAAGAGAAAGAGAAAGACGGUGCCGGUGAGAAGAAAGAGAAAGACGUUGCUGCAGCG